This 287-nucleotide transfer-messenger RNA is filed under the name Enterobacter sp. It matches the Rfam family "transfer-messenger RNA". Rfam says of the family: Bacterial tmRNA, also known as 10Sa RNA or SsrA, is named for its dual tRNA and mRNA-like properties. Its role is to liberate the mRNA from a stalled ribosome. To accomplish this part of the tmRNA is used as a reading frame that ends in a translation stop signal. Lineage: Bacteria; Pseudomonadati; Pseudomonadota; Gammaproteobacteria; Enterobacterales; Enterobacteriaceae. The record is from RNAcentral.
GGGGCUGAUUCUGGAUUCGACGGGAUUUGCGAAACCCAAGGUGCAUGCCGAGGGGCGGUUUGCCUCGUUAAAAGCCGCAAAAAAUAGUCGCAAACGACGAAAACUACGCUUUAGCAGCUUAAUAACCUGCUCUGAGCCCUCUCUCCCUAGCUUCCGCUCUUAAGACGGCUAGUUCGUUAGUGGCGUGUCUGUCCGCAGCUGGCGUGCGAAUGUAAAGACAAACUAAGCAUGUAGUACCGAGGAUGUAGAAAUUUCGGACGCGGGUUCAACUCCCGCCAGCUCCACCA